RNAcentral lists this ribosomal RNA (207 nucleotides) under uncultured bacterium. RNAcentral's name for it is "partial 16S ribosomal RNA". It matches the Rfam family "Bacterial small subunit ribosomal RNA", at positions 568 to 774 of the family's 1533-position model. The record is from RNAcentral.
CUCGUAGGCGGUUCGUCGCGUCCGGUGUGAAAGUCCAUCGCUUAACGGUGGAUCUGCGCCGGGUACGGGCGGGCUGGAGUGCGGUAGGGGAGACUGGAAUUCCCGGUGUAACGGUGGAAUGUGUAGAUAUCAAGAGGAACACCGAUGGCGAAGGCAGCUCUCUGGUCCGUUUCUGACGCUGAGGUGCGAAAGCUAGGGUAGCGAACG